CAAGAAUUCUCAAGGAUACCAUCUCAUUAGAUACAAAAUCAUAUGUAUCAUGUCAUUCAAAACAUAUUUGAUUCAUAAUAAAUGGAGCAUAGAGUAAUUGGAGCAUAUCAAUGGCAGAUAGGACAUUUCAGAACAUAUCAGUUCAUAGCAAAUGGAGCACAGAGUAAUUGGAGCAUAUCAACGGCAUAUGGAACAUUUCGAAGCAUAUCAACAGUGAAUGAAACAUUUCAGAGCAUAUCAAAAACAAAUACCGUACAAAAGCUCAAACGUCGCCCUUGACGUUGCAAUCAUAUCAUUCUUAUCCAGAGCAUGAACAGAAACAACUCACCAAAACUCUGGAUGUCAUAUCAAACAUAUAGAAGGUGUAGUGGGAUCUCAGUCAGAAUAUGAUUCAUCCAUUUCUGAAUGACCACCUGACAAAAGUCUCCCACGUCUGGGAGCUCCAUCCACCCACGUCUAGGUGAAGUCAGAGGGGGCCGGUAGAGCAUCGCAGGCUCUAAGCACAUACCCUUUACCAUUUCUGGCAAAGGUUCAGAAUAUCCCACAGAGCGGGCAAUAAGCACAUACCCUUUACCAUUUCUAGCAAAGGUCCAGACAAUCCCACA
RNAcentral lists this long non-coding RNA (605 nucleotides) under Musa acuminata (dwarf banana). RNAcentral's name for it is "long non-coding RNA (MACU_LNC010703)". The record is from RNAcentral. Lineage: Eukaryota; Viridiplantae; Streptophyta; Magnoliopsida; Zingiberales; Musaceae.